UGGGGAAUAUUGGGCAAUGGGCGCAAGCCUGACCCAGCAACGCCGCGUGAAGGAUGAAGGCCUUCGGGUUGUAAACUUCUUUGAUCAGGGACGAAACAAAUGACGGUACCUGAAGAACAAGCCACGGCUAACUACGUGCCAGCAGCCGCGGUAAUACGUAGGUGGCGAGCGUUAUCCGGAUUUACUGGGUGUAAAGGGCGUGUAGGCGGGUCUGCAAGUCGGAUGUGAAAUUCCCGGGCUUAACUCGGGCGGGUCAUCCGAAACUGCGGAUCUUGAGUACUGGAGAGGAUAGUGGAAUUCCUAGUGUAGCGGUAAAAUGCGUAGAUAGUAGGAGGAACACCAGUGGCGAAGGCGGCUAUCUGGACAGUAACUGACGCUGAGGUGCGAAAGCGUGGGGAGCAAACA
This 405-nucleotide ribosomal RNA is filed under the name uncultured prokaryote. RNAcentral describes it as "bacterial SSU rRNA". It matches the Rfam family "Bacterial small subunit ribosomal RNA", at positions 355 to 774 of the family's 1533-position model. The record is from RNAcentral.